This 248-nucleotide ribosomal RNA is filed under the name uncultured Oscillospiraceae bacterium. RNAcentral describes it as "partial 16S ribosomal RNA". It matches the Rfam family "Bacterial small subunit ribosomal RNA", at positions 524 to 771 of the family's 1533-position model. Lineage: Bacteria; Bacillati; Bacillota; Clostridia; Eubacteriales; Oscillospiraceae. The record is from RNAcentral.
UACGUAGGUGGCAAGCGUUAUCCGGAUUUAUUGGGUGUAAAGGGCGUGUAGGCGGGACUGCAAGUCAGGCGUGAAAACUCGGGGCUCAACCCCGAGCCUGCGUUUGAAACUGUAGUUCUUGAGUGCUGGAGAGGCAAUCGGAAUUCCGUGUGUAGCGGUGAAAUGCGUAGAUAUACGGAGGAACACCAGUGGCGAAGGCGGAUUGCUGGACAGUAACUGACGCUGAGGCGCGAAAGCGUGGGGAGCAA